GGCAAGAUGACCGAGUGGUUAAGGUGCCAGAUUUAAGCUCUGGUGGCGAAAGCCGCGGGAGUUCGAACCUCCCUCUUGUCA
Molecule: non-coding RNA, 81 nt
Organism: Emydomyces testavorans
Lineage: Eukaryota; Fungi; Ascomycota; Eurotiomycetes; Onygenales; Nannizziopsiaceae
Source: the annotation of a GenBank genome assembly